UAAUAUGAUAAUCAUAAAAUUGGAUUUAAAAAACAAAAAACAAAAUAAAAUAAAUGCUCAAUCUUCUAGUGCGGCUCCAACUCUUCCUCCUCCUCCGUUCUUUUUUCUUCUUCUUCUUCUUCUUCUCGAACCCCUCGUCUAUCAUAAUGUGGACCAAUCUGACCAAUCUGAAUCGUACAAUAAGUCAGACAAUCAAUCAUGCCAAUCUGAACUUUGUCUUUUCAAAUUCCCCGUAUACUGGUCAAUCUAAGUUGUUGGAUGACAGAUAUGGUAGGGGAAGCAUGGAUUGUGGGUGCAGAAUGAUUAGGAGAAAGAGAUUCAAGAAGAAAUAGAGGAAUGAAACCGAUUGGGAAAGCUAUCAACCACAAUUAAGAUUGAAAUCGAAUCAGAUUUCCCUCUCUUAUUAUAGUAUUUUGUUCUUCCCUAAUUUUUAGGGUUCUUCCAUAGUCCUUUGUCAUGAUGGACGAGUUUGGAAGAGAAUGAAGAAGAAUAAGCUGAUGGAUUUUGUUUAAAUCAUGAUGAUGGAAGAGUUUGAU
This 536-nucleotide long non-coding RNA is filed under the name Linum usitatissimum (flax). Its description in RNAcentral is "long non-coding RNA (LUSI_LNC002738)". Lineage: Eukaryota; Viridiplantae; Streptophyta; Magnoliopsida; Malpighiales; Linaceae. The record is from RNAcentral.